AAACCAUUGUUAUUCAUCCGCGACCGUUUUGAAACACUUGAUGCAACGAAUGCAGAAGCUCUCUUUUCUUCAUGCUCACAUACAGAGCAACAGGCAAUGGUCAGUGUGCAAACAGAAUGCGGGUGGGGCAAGCAUGUGCUCUGGCUCUGUUCCUUCCAUCGGAUUGUCUGCUUUUUCAAGAGGUGUGAAAAGAAAAGAAAAUUGACAAUGGG
Caenorhabditis elegans is the source of this 212-nucleotide non-coding RNA. NCBI's taxonomy places the organism in Eukaryota, Metazoa, Nematoda, Chromadorea, Rhabditida, Rhabditidae. The record is from Ensembl.